RNAcentral lists this ribosomal RNA (796 nucleotides) under uncultured soil bacterium. Its description in RNAcentral is "bacterial SSU rRNA". It matches the Rfam family "Bacterial small subunit ribosomal RNA", at positions 8 to 796 of the family's 1533-position model. The record is from RNAcentral.
AGAGUUUGAUCCUGGCUCAGGACGAACGCUGGCGGCGUGGAUUAGGCAUGCAAGUCGCGCGACGAGCGGAGCAAUCCGCUACGGAGCGGCGAACGGGUGAGUAACACGUGAUUAACCUGUCCCUACAUUCCGGAUAAUUGGAAGAAAUUCCUUGUAAUACGGGCGAGGAUGGUGAUGAGGCAUCUCAUUGCUAAGGAACGUGCAGUCGUAAGAUUGUGCGGUGCAGGGAGGGGAUCGCGGCUUAUCAGCUAGUAGGUGGGGUAACGGCCUACCUAGGCGACGACGAGUAGCUGGUCUGAGAGGAUGGUCAGCCACAUUGGAACUGAGACACUGUCCAGACUCCUACGGGAGGCUGCAGUCGAGAAUCUUGGGCAAUGCACGAAAGUGUGACCCAGCGACGCCGCGUGGAGGAUGAAGGACCUUGGUUCGUAAACUCCUUUUAGGGGAGAAGAAGGAUGGGUAACCAUCUUGACGGUAUCCCCUGAAUAAGCCACGGCUAACUACGUGCCAGCAGCCGCGGUAAUACGUAGGUGGCAAGCGUUGUCCGGAUUUACUGGGCGUAAAGCGUGGGCAGGCGGACUUUUAAGUAGGAAGUGAAAGGCGGGAGCUCAACUCCUGGACUGCUCCCUAUACUGGAAGUCUUGAGUACCGGAGAGGAUAAGGGAACGGGUUGUGUAGCGGUGAAAUGCGUUGAUAUAACUCGGAACACCAAUGGCGAAAGCACUUAUCUGGACGGAGACUGACGCUCAUCCACGAAAGCCAAGGUAGCGAACAGGAUUAGAUACCCCAGUAGUCC